Molecule: ribosomal RNA, 1056 nt
Filed under: Triticum aestivum (bread wheat)
Lineage: Eukaryota; Viridiplantae; Streptophyta; Magnoliopsida; Poales; Poaceae
Description: partial small subunit ribosomal RNA
Source: RNAcentral
AUGGCGCCGACUCACAGCUCGCGCCGCCUCGACGGCACACUGCUCGUGCUCGUGGCCGCCACUGCCUUUGUCAGCGCUGCCGCGGCGCGAGGGGAGGCGCUGGCCGCCCGGCACGAGCGGUGGAUGGCCAAGUACGGGCGCGUGUACACGGACGCCGCAGAGAAAUUGCGCCGGCAGGAGGUGUUCGCGGCCAACGCGCGGCACAUAGACGCUGUCAACCGGGCGGGCAACCGGACGUACACGCUCGGGCUCAACCAGUUCUCCGACCUCACCGACCAAGAGUUCGCGGAGACGCACCUCGGGUACCGUCACCAGCGCGGCGGGCUCCGUCCUGAGGACAACACGCCGAUGGCCGCGGUGAACAUGUCCAAGGCUCAGUCCCAGUCCACGCCGGACAGCGUUGACUGGAGAGCCCAGGGUGCCGUCACCCAAGUCAAGUACCAAGGCGCCAACUGCGGGAGUUGCUGGGCGUUCGCGGCGGUGGCGGCGACCGAGGGGCUCGUAAAGAUCGCCACUGGCAAUCUCAUCUCCAUGUCAGAGCAGCAGGUCCUCGACUGCACCGGCGGCACCAACUCCUGCAACGGCGGCCGUGUCAACGAAGCUCUAAGCUACAUCGCCGCGAGCGGCGGCCUGCAGCCGGAGGCAGUCUACGCGUAUAGCGCCCAGCAGGGCGUGUGCCGCAGCAGCGGCGUCAGCCCAAACUCGGCCGCCUCCGUCGGCGCCCCCCGGUUGGAGGGCCUGUACGGCCAUGAGGGCAAGUUGCAGGAGCUCGUGGCCAACCAGCCGGUCGCCGUGAGCGUGGAGGCCACGGAGUUUAACUUCCGGCACUACAUGAGCGGCGUGUACGCCGGCAGCUCGUCGUGCGGGCAGAACCUGAACCACGCUGUGACCGUGGUGGGGUACGGGGUGGACGGCGGCGGGCAGGAGUACUGGUUGGUGAAGAACCAGUGGGGGACGGGGUGGGGCGAGGGGGGCUACAUGCGCCUCACGCGCGGGAACGGCGGCAACUGCGGCAUGGCCACCUACGCCUACUACCCCACCAUAGACAGCUCUUAA